Molecule: ribosomal RNA, 887 nt
Filed under: Arthrostemma primaevum
Lineage: Eukaryota; Viridiplantae; Streptophyta; Magnoliopsida; Myrtales; Melastomataceae
Description: eukaryotic LSU rRNA
Rfam family: Eukaryotic large subunit ribosomal RNA (bases 648-887)
Source: RNAcentral
AACAAGGUUUCCGUAGGUGAACCUGCGGAAGGAUCAUUGUCGAAAUCGAACGAAAGAACGACCCGCGAAUCGUUGUCCCGCUACUCGAGGAUAUCGUCGUGCCGGCGGCGGCCUCCCCCGGGGACCCCGUCGCGCCGGCGAACAACCAACCCAGCACGAACCGUGCCAAGGACCAUAACGGAGAGGAUCGUCGGCCCGAGCCCCCGGCCUUACGUCUACGGCGGGGCGGGGGACGGGCGCGAUCUCUUUUUCACGUCUUAAUGACUCUCGGCAACGGAUAUCUCGGCUCUUGCAUCGAUGAAGAACGUAGCGAAAUGCGAUACUUGGUGUGAAUUGCAGAAUCCCGCGAACCAUCAAUUCUUUGAACGCAAGUUGCGCCCGAAGCCAUUCGGCCGAGGGCACGCCUGCCUGGGUGUCGUGAUACCUCUUGCCCUUGGGCGCCCGCACGAGAUUCGGCGGGGACGCAAGCCCGGGCGCAGAAGAUGGCCUCCCGUAGGACGGGCGCGCGAGUCGCGCCCGCGCGCGGUUGGCCAAUAAGAGCAUCGUGGCGACGGGCUCCACGGCGUAAGGUGGAUCGUUUUCCGAUUGGCUUCGUCGUGGGCUCGGCAACGCGUCCGGCUCCGGGCUACAACUCGAGUUCCCGAGUGCGAUCCCAGGUCAGGCGGGGCUACCCGCUGAGUUUAAGCAUAUCAAUAAGCGGAGGAAAAGAAACUAACCAGGAUUCCCUUAGUAGCGGCGAGCGAACCGGGAGGAGCCCAGCGUGAGAAUCGUCCGCCUUCGGCGGCCGAAUUGUAGUCUGGAGAAGCGUCCUCAGUGACGGACCGGGCCCAAGUUCACUGGAAGGUGGCGCCGGAGAGGGUGAGAGCCCCGUCGUGCCCGGACCCUGU